UUAAAAAAUGUCAUUGAUAAACUGGAAAGAAAAAUAAUUUAUAAAAUGGAAUUGAGUGUUUCAGAACUGCAUCAAGAACAUGAUAGUCUGACGAGGAAAAUUCAAAAUUUAACUAACUGUAUCCAUGAAAGAAAUAUAAGAAUCGAAGAAUUAGAGAAUGAAAAAGUUCAUUUAUUGAACCGAAUCGAUCACACUUCUAUACAAUUAAACAAACAAAAUCAGCAAGUUGAAGUAUUAAAAAGAAUAAAUUCAACAUUUCGAGAAAAAUUAGACGAUCGAAAAAGAAAUAUUGAAUCGAUUUUUAGUGCUUUACAAUCCAUACAAUUUCAAAUUGAAAAAGUACAUCUAGUAUCUUCGGAAGACAAAAAAGUUACUACGGAUGUAAAUUACAAAAAAAAAAUAGAUAUUGCAAAUUCUGAUUAUUUUCUUCAAGAAAAUUCAAAUGAUGUUGUCAGAGAUAAUAUUAUAAAUACACUCAACUCAACAGAAAGUUUCGAAUAUCAACUAUCAUCAAUUAAAGAUAAUAUAAAUAUUCUUUCCAGUGAAUUACAUGCAAAUGUUGAUCCAAAAAACAAUUCUAAAAAUUCAUUAGCUCAAAUAAAAGAGAAAUCCAAUGGUUGCGAAAAUAUACAUGAAGAAGAAAUGAAGAUAUCUGAACAAAUGAGCGAUCAACUAAAUGAAAGUAAUAAAGGAAUAAAAGAUGACAAAAUGCAAAAAUCGAAUAAUCAAUUAAAUAAAUUUUCUUAAUGAAAUGAAAAUUUGGUAUUUUCGUUUGAUGAAAAAGAUAUAAUUCAUAAAAAUGAUUUGAAAAAAGAGUCGCGGUAUUAUAGCAAAAUUACAAAAUCUCACUACGGAAAUAACAUAUUUUCCAAGAGUUUAGAAUAAUAAUCUUUAGACGAUAAAAGCGAUCAUCUGAAUGGAAUUACGGAUCUUUCCUCAAAAAUAAAAAAUGUAAAACAAUAUAUUUAUUAUAAUAGAGUUCCAAAUAAAAUACAGUUUGACAAAUCCACUAUUCAAGAAUCCACAAAAUCUAAAAGUUCACCUUUCAAAUAAUUUAUUUUUCACUGCAGUUAACGUUCAAGUAAUAAAGAAUCUGGUUGAAAAA
RNAcentral lists this unclassified non-coding RNA (1105 nucleotides) under Chelonus insularis. Its description in RNAcentral is "golgin subfamily B member 1-like, transcript variant X2". Lineage: Eukaryota; Metazoa; Arthropoda; Insecta; Hymenoptera; Braconidae. The record is from RNAcentral.